RNAcentral lists this ribosomal RNA (301 nucleotides) under uncultured bacterium. Its description in RNAcentral is "partial 16S ribosomal RNA". It matches the Rfam family "Bacterial small subunit ribosomal RNA", at positions 509 to 809 of the family's 1533-position model. The record is from RNAcentral.
CAGCAGCCGCGGUAAUACGUAGGGCGCAAGCGUUGUCCGGAAUUAUUGGGCGUAAAGAGCUCGUAGGCGGUCUGUCGCGUCUGGUGUGAAAUCCCGAGGCUCAACCUCGGGCUUGCAUCGGGUACGGGCAGACUAGAGUGCGGUAGGGGAGACUGGAAUUCCUGGUGUAGCGGUGGAAUGCGCAGAUAUCAGGAGGAACACCGAUGGCGAAGGCAGGUCUCUGGGCCGCAACUGACGCUGAGGAGCGAAAGCAUGGGGAGCGAACAGGAUUAGAUACCCGUGUAGUCCCUGUCUCUUAUAA